RNAcentral lists this ribosomal RNA (473 nucleotides) under uncultured bacterium. RNAcentral's name for it is "bacterial SSU rRNA". It matches the Rfam family "Bacterial small subunit ribosomal RNA", at positions 28 to 491 of the family's 1533-position model. The record is from RNAcentral.
GAUGAACGCUAGCGAUAGGCCUAACACAUGCAAGUCGAGGGGCAUCACAUGAAGUAGCAAUACGGAUGGUGGCGACCGGCGCACGGGUGAGUAACACGUAUGCAACCCGCCUUCAACAAGGGGAUAACCCGUUGAAAGACGGACUAAUACCCUAUAACACAGGGGUCCCGCAUGGGAAUAUUUGUUAAAGGACAACCGGUUGAAGAUGGGCAUGCGUUCCAUUAGCUAGUUGGCGGGGUAAGGGCCCACCAAGGCAACGAUGGAUAGGGGAACUGAGAGGUUUAUCCCCCACACUGGUACUGAGACACGGACCAGACUCCUACGGGAGGCAGCAGUGAGGAAUAUUGGUCAAUGGACGCAAGUCUGAACCAGCCACGUCGCGUGAAGGAAGACGGCCUACGGGUUGUAAACUUCUUUUGCAAGGGAAUAAAGUGGGCCACGUGUGGCCUUUUGCAAGUACCUUGCGAAUAAGG